Molecule: long non-coding RNA, 4182 nt
Organism: Oncorhynchus tshawytscha (Chinook salmon)
Lineage: Eukaryota; Metazoa; Chordata; Actinopteri; Salmoniformes; Salmonidae
Source: Ensembl
GAAAGAGCAGGUGUUCAUAAUGUUUUGUAUACUCAGUGUUUAUCACACCUCCUUUGACUGGGUGCUGAAACCAGUUGUCGUUAUGUACUUUGUUUUUAGUCCUUGUUGUGGUGGUACAGGAGGAAGUGAAUGACUUUCUCUAAUUCUGUAUAUGGCUCUGUCGCUCACUCCGUGCUUGUUAAUACUGGAGGGAGUGAUGGUGAUGACAGUGGCUCUGAUGACCAGGCGAGAGAGGAGAAUAACCUGUGGGAGGAGCAACAGAUUGGGAUGUGAGUCAAGCGACACCCUGGGGGAACAGGUAAGAUAUUCACCCCUCUACUUUCUAAGUCGCACACAAACACACUUACUUUCUCUCUCUCACUCCGUCACUUCACCGUCUGUCCGUCCGUCCGUGAUGAAAUCUUCAUUCCUCACGACCCUAAGAAGUGAGUGACUUGUGAUUUAUUUAAGUAGUUACUGGAAUUCAUGUGUCAUACCAAGCUUGUCAUGCCGUAGCUUUACCAGGACGCCCUGGUGUUCUGGCGGGUUUUUAGAUGACAAAUCCUCUCCAAAGAGGCGGUUCAGAGACCAGCCGUGAAGGUACGUAAAACAACACUUGUUUUAAAGGUCUUGUUCCAUGAUGCGUUUUCUAAAAGAGGGUUUAUAGUGCACUGUGGUGACGGACCAUGUGGCUAGUUAGCCCGUAACAACAUCUACCAGUAAAGUCCAGUCAAGAGAUGGAGGGCUUUCGUGUCACAGCUCCUUGCGUGUUGCCUUGUGCAGCUAAUUCCCCUGCCUUUACUGCGUGGUCUCUCUUGCCAUUUCUGUGACAUCCAUUGCUUUAGUGGUGUUUCCAUCUUGCGUGUCAACUCUUCGGUAACGUGGGCCGGUGGGGUGGUUUGAUACCUGAACACGCUCUAAAGGAGCUUGAUGUUGGACAAACUCCUGAACUGCUACCUGAAUGAUGACACUACUCAACGAGACCCCAUCUCAGGACUCUGUCCAUAAAUGCAAAAAGGUGUGUAGGUGAAUUGCGUGUGUCUAAUGUUGAUGUGUUGUCUACGGGGGUUUCAAGGUGUUCUCUAGUGGAGUAAUUGCUCUGCCGUCUUCGAGAUGGCUCAAGUUUAGUGGUGUCAUUUUCAGGUUUUUCUCAAAUUGAACUGAGAUUUAUUGCUCUCUCUCGUCUCUCUCCAUCUCUUUCGCUGAGCAGGUCGCGGCGUGUUUUCCUCAGUCCUGGUUUUAAGACGUGAGCUCCUGUCCCUCUCACCUGAAGUCCUUCAGUGACCAUCUCCUCCAGACAGCCCAUUCAGUAUACAAACAACAGCCUGACCACCCCAACAGACGGCCCGUGGUGAGCGACGUGCUAACUUUUCUGGGAAGCAUCAAGGCCUGGGACAAGAAAAAGUCUGUGCUUGUAACUUCAUCCCAAGGGCUGAGUAUGCAUAAGUCUUAGUGUGUACAUGAGGAGAAAACAACUUACAGUAUGUAGUGGUAGUGGAGUUUUUUUAUUGACGUGUGCACAUUGUAUCACGGGUGGCCGGCAGAUGGCGCUAUUUUUCCUUUUAGGUCAUUUGUCUACGUCCAACUGGAAUCUAUGCAGCCGGCUAUACACUCGUAUCCCCCCCAGCGCCCGGCUCGUACAUAAAACAUCCUACAUUCAGGGUGCAAGGGCAUCCAUUUCCUCAAUUUCAAUUAAAUGUAUUUCUAAAGCUCUUCUUACAUCAGCUGAUGUCACAAAGUGCUGUACAGAAACCCAGCCUAAAACCCCAAACAGCAAGCAAUGCAGGUGUAGAAGGACAUUGGCUAGGAAAAACUCCCUAGAAAGGAAGGAAGAAACCUAGAGAGGAACCAGGCUAUGAGGGGUGGCCAGUCCUCUUCUGGCUGGGCCGGGUGUAGAUUAUAACAGAACAUGGCCAAGAUGUUCAAAGAUGCAAGCGGGGUCAAAUAAUAAUAAUCACAGUGGUUGUCGAGGGUGCAACAGGUCAGCACCUCCGGAGUAAAUGUCAAUUGGCUUUACAUAGCCGAUCAUUCAGAGUAUCUCUACCGCUCCUGCUGUCUCUAGAGUGUUGAAAACAGCAGGUCUGGGACAAGAUGGCACGUCCGGUGAACAGGUCAGGGUUCCAUAGUCGCAGGCAGAACAGUUGAAACUGGAGUAGCAGCACGACCAGGUGGACUGGGGCCAGCAAGGAGUCAUCAUGCCAGGCAGUCAUGAGGCAUGGUCCUAGGGCUCAGGUCCUCCGAGAGAGAGGGGAAAAAAGAGAAUUAGAGAGAGCAUACUUAAAUUCACACAGGACACGGAUAAGACAGGAGAAAUACUCCAGAUAUAACAGACUGACCCUAGCCUCCCGACACAAACUAUUGCAGCAUAAAUACUGGAGGCUGAGACAGGAGGGGUCGGGAGACACUGGCCCGGUCCGAUGAUACUGGCAGGCUAAAACCCCACCGAUUUACCUCUUAAUAAAACAUCAUUUUCCAUCUGCUAGAGUGGCAUCACUCCUUGAUGUUGCAUACUGCUUUCAGACUGCUGCAACCUGAUUGGCUGAAUAUCAGGAAGUACCAUUAGCCAUACAUUUUUCUAAACUAAUCCAAUAUUUUAGUUGGACUUGCACCUGUUACUGAGAUGGCUGUUCCAGUUGAUAUUAUUUAGUUAGUCUCAAUAAUCAAUUCUUACCUGGGCAGUCAUUCUCGUCUGAAAACGAUUUAAAAGUUCAAGACAUCCCCACUCUGGCUGGAUUCCAAUAGGAAUUACACAUCACUUUGCAAGCCAGCAUAACGUGCUUUACAGGCUUGAUGUUCAGUAGUUUCAGAACAAUGUGUUUGAGAGUUAUACCCUAAGAAAGGCUUUAUGAUAUACAGGUAACUGCCAAAAUAAAGGCACCACCAACAUAGUGUCUUAAUAAUAGGGCCGGGACAAUACCAGUAUCGCGAUAUUCAUUCGUUUCGUGGCAAAGAAACAAAACAUGAGAAGUGAACUUCUUUACGAAAACAGCCCGUAUGUUGGAAACAAACAUGUUGUCUUCCAGUCAUGUUUAUUUUCCAAGCUAUAUCACACAAUAUUUGACAUAAAGCAGGUUUUUAGAAGGACAAGAAUCUCCCAUACGUGUUCAGUUGGGUUGAGAUCUGGUGACUGAGACACAAACACGUAACCUUUAAACCGCAUAAGUUCCUUUUGAGAUGCCUCUUUCAAAGUCCCAGGUAUCUUCUCGCCAUGGUAACAAAGAUUUGUCAAAGGCUUGUCAUGACUUCUACUACUAAUCCAUUUAGUAGUAUAGUGAUGCAAUUGCCCUCAUAGUUGUGAGACACGGGCGAUUUCCUUAAACAACUAUCUGAACUUGAAAUUGGGGAUGACUAGCUAUCUCUCUCUCAUCACCCUAGAUGACAAAGGACUGGAGGCUUGAAAGUUAUUGUUGGAACAGAGAGGGGACACAAUGUCCUCUACAGGUUUUUUUGUUGGAUCUGAGUAUACUCCUGUUCAAUAACUAUUUUUUUGUUUGAAGACUGUUACUAUGUACAAAAACAGGUAGCGACUAUGGGCUCCAUUUUCUCUCCUAACAAUUAAUGUCUAUUUGUGGGUUAUCUUGAAGGCAAGUUCAUUUGGCACAAUAACCCUUCUCCCAUCAUAUAUGUAUGUGUAAAAUAUAUGACGAUUAUGUGUUUCUCAUUUGGAAGGGUCCCUUCAAUGUGUUUGAUUUUCUCGCCGACCUUAAUGAUACGGUUCAAUCUAUCAGAGAUUGUCAAUGGCGAUAUGUCUUUCCUUGACACACCUUCACUCAGGGUCUACGUUGUCCCACUACUUUGUACACAAAGCCUACGGACAAGAAAAGUAUCCUAUACGCAGCCUAGUGCUCAUCCCACAUUUCUGAAAAAGGGAUCACCGUACGCACAAUCUCUGAGACUGAAACGCAUGUGUGCUGGUAAAACAGACUUUGAAAACGAGGCUAUGAACAUGUAUAGACUAUUUGAGGCCCGCUCGUACACAAAAUAAUGGCUUGAUGAUGCUCCCAGUAAAGUACGUACCAUUGAUGAGACCUCUACCAGAAGGGAUAAAAGUAAUCAAAUAAAACAUUGUAUCUGUACCACUACAUAUUGGCCUUUUGAGCGAUGGCAUCAAGGGAGCUGUUAAGAAACACUGGAAUGUGCUUAUGGCUGAUCCUGUUUGCCCCAAAAAAUGUAUCUGGCCCCCCCUCUCCUUUCACGCUGCAG